CCCACAUAUUCUAAUCUUAAAGUAUUUGAAUGCUUGGCUUUUGCUACAACUCUAGUUCAUAUCAGGCACAAAUUCGAUCCUAGGGCUCAUGGGUAUGCUUUUCUUGGAUACCCGUUUGGCAUCAAAGGGUAUAAACUCAUUGACGUAGAAACAAACAAAAUCUUCAUCUCUCGAAAUGUCCUCUUAUAUGAAAAUCUUUUUCUUAUAAGGAAGUUUCUGCCACUAUAUAUAUUCCCCUCAAAGAUAUUUCUUAUCAUAUCUUUGAGGUUGCAGAGUUUAAAAACACAUAUGUUAAUGAAAAUUCAUCGAUUCCUUUAUCUUCUCCCAACCUUACACCAGUAACCACGAAUCAGAUUCAUCCAUCUAAGAACACCCCUCACAUUCAUCUAUCCAAGAACCUCGUCAUCUCUAACCAAUACUUUACCAGCCAUAGAACCUCAUCAUGCAUCACCACUUCCUGCUUUGCGUAGGUCCAACAGAGUUAAGAAGUUACCUUCUCAUUUGCAGGAUUUUGUUUGUCAACAUGCCAGCUCAACUUCCCAUUUCCAGGAAUUGACCAAGCA
RNAcentral lists this long non-coding RNA (563 nucleotides) under Olea europaea subsp. europaea. The record is from RNAcentral. Lineage: Eukaryota; Viridiplantae; Streptophyta; Magnoliopsida; Lamiales; Oleaceae.